UAUGACCUGUAGAGUUGUCACUUAAAACAGCCUUAGUGUUUAAGUGUGCGAUUCAGAGGCUAUUGUAGAGACUAGUGUCAGUAUGGCAGAAAUGUCCAGACUUAAUUUGCCAGUACAACAGAUGAACUGCAGAGUAGUCACUUAAAACAGCUAUGACCUGUAGAGUUGUCACUUAAAACAGCCUUAGUGUUUAAGUGUGCGAUUUAGAGGCCAUUGUAGAGACUAGUGUCAGUAUGGCAGACUUAAUUUGCCAGUACAUAAUAGAUGAACUGUAGAGUAGUCACUUAAAACAGCCUUAAUAGUUUCCCUGCAUGUUUUAAGAGCAGUGUACAGUUCAGUGGCCAUAGUAGAGAAACCUUGUGACAUUGUUUUCAUUUCAGGAUGAACCAACCAAACCAGAACCAAGCAAACCCUAACCCAGAGUUAAAUCCGAACGAAUGAAGCAGCGCCAACAGGCCAUUGAAGAACUCCACAACUCCAUGUUUGGAUGACUAAAUCAGCUUUUACUGGAACAGUGAAAAGAAAUGCGUCCUAUGUACA
Dermacentor silvarum is the source of this 540-nucleotide long non-coding RNA. RefSeq lists it as uncharacterized. The transcript is spliced from 2 exons. NCBI's taxonomy places the organism in Eukaryota, Metazoa, Arthropoda, Arachnida, Ixodida, Ixodidae. The record is from RefSeq and is a predicted model, not a curated record.